This 72-nucleotide transfer RNA is filed under the name Camelus bactrianus (Bactrian camel). It matches the Rfam family "tRNA". From Rfam's summary of the family: Transfer RNA (tRNA) molecules are approximately 80 nucleotides in length. Their secondary structure includes four short double-helical elements and three loops (D, anti-codon, and T loops). The record is from Rfam by way of RNAcentral. RNAcentral also lists the same sequence under 1 other name. Lineage: Eukaryota; Metazoa; Chordata; Mammalia; Artiodactyla; Camelidae.
GGGGAUAUAGCUCAGUGGUAGAAUGCAUGCUUAGCAUGCAUGAGGUCCUAAGCUCAGUCCUUACUACCUCCG